This 206-nucleotide ribosomal RNA is filed under the name uncultured Romboutsia sp. Its description in RNAcentral is "partial 16S ribosomal RNA". It matches the Rfam family "Bacterial small subunit ribosomal RNA", at positions 568 to 774 of the family's 1533-position model. The record is from RNAcentral. Lineage: Bacteria; Bacillati; Bacillota; Clostridia; Peptostreptococcales; Peptostreptococcaceae.
UGCGUAGGUGGUUUCUUAAGUCAGAGGUGAAAGGCUACGGCUCAACCGUAGUAAGCCUUUGAAACUGGGAAACUUGAGUGCAGGAGAGGAGAGUGGAAUUCCUAGUGUAGCGGUGAAAUGCGUAGAUAUUAGGAGGAACACCAGUUGCGAAGGCGGCUCUCUGGACUGUAACUGACACUGAAGCACGAAAGCGUGGGGAGCAAACA